Molecule: transfer RNA, 75 nt
Filed under: Candidatus Aenigmarchaeota archaeon ex4484_56
Lineage: Archaea; Nanobdellati; Candidatus Aenigmatarchaeota
Also listed under: 2 other names
Description: tRNA-Arg
Rfam family: tRNA
About the family: Transfer RNA (tRNA) molecules are approximately 80 nucleotides in length. Their secondary structure includes four short double-helical elements and three loops (D, anti-codon, and T loops).
Source: RNAcentral
GCCCUGAUAGUUCAGCCUGGAUAGAAUAGCACCCUCCUAAGGUGAAGGUCCCCGGUUCAAAUCCGGGUCAGGGCA